ACUGGCGCUGAUGACUGAACUUUUUUCCCCAGCAGAUCGACUCUGUUGACUUUUCAGAAAAAACUAAGCCAAAGUGUCUGAGCCAUCAGU
Molecule: small nucleolar RNA, 90 nt
Organism: Colossoma macropomum (tambaqui)
Lineage: Eukaryota; Metazoa; Chordata; Actinopteri; Characiformes; Serrasalmidae
Product: small nucleolar SNORD12/SNORD106
Exons: 1
Source: RefSeq, a predicted model, not a curated record